This 500-nucleotide ribosomal RNA is filed under the name uncultured bacterium. RNAcentral describes it as "bacterial SSU rRNA". It matches the Rfam family "Bacterial small subunit ribosomal RNA", at positions 29 to 484 of the family's 1533-position model. The record is from RNAcentral.
AACGAACGCUGGCGGCGUGGCUGAGACAUGCAAGUCGCACGGAACUGCUUUUGGGUAACUGAGAACAGUUUAGUGGCGAAAGGGUGAGUAAUGCAUGGGUAACGUACCCCGGGCACCGGGAUAGCAGCGUCUGCUUCGGCAGACUACCGAAAGGGCUGGUAAUACCGGAUGUGGUCAGGAACACUGCGGUGUUUUUGAUCAAAGGUUGGGGAUCCGCUUCGGCGGACCUAAUGGCCUGGGAGCGGCCCAUGUUCCAUCAGCUAGUUGGUAAGGUAACGGCUUACCAAGGCUGCGACGGAUACCGGGGCUGAGAGGCCGAUCCGGCACAUUGGGACUGAGACACUGCCCAGACCCCCACGGGGGGCUGCAGUAACGAAUCUUCCGCAAUGGGCGCAAGCCUGACGGAGCGACGCCGCGUGUGGGAUGAAUUCCCUCGGGAUGUAAACCACUGUCAGGGUUAUGGAAACAAACCGCAGUAAUAUAGCGGGGCGUAGACCUAG